CCUCCCUGCCCGCAGUGUACUCGAACGCGCUGCAGGAGUCGGCCAACAGCAUCCUGUACAACGGGCUGAUCGAGGAGCUGGUGGACGUGCUGCAGAUCACCGACAAGCAGCUGAUGGUGAGCCUGGGACACCUGUGCCACACCUGGGCUGGCACCUGGCACCUGGGCUGGCACCUGGCACCUGGCACCUGGGCUGGCACCUGGCACCUGGGCUGGCACCUGUGCCACACCUGGGCUGGCACCUGGCACCUGGCACCUGUCACCUGGGCUGGCACCUGUCACCUGGGCUGGCACCUGUCACCUGGGCUGGCACCUGUCACUUGUCACCUGUCACCUGGGCUGGCACCUGGCACCUGGGCUGGCACCUGGACAGUUACCUGGCACCUGUGCUCCUCACCUGUGCUGUCAGCCGUACUGUUAACUGUGCUGUCACCUGUGCUAUCACCUGUACCCUCGUUUGUGCUGUCACCUGUACUGUCACCUGUAUCCUAUACUGUCACCUGUGCUAGCACCUGGGCUGUUGCCUGUGCUGUCACUUGUACCCUCACCUGUCCCUUCAUCUGUGUUGUCAGCUGUUCUGUUACCUGUGCUGUUACCUGUGCCGUCACCUGUACUCUCACCUGUACCUGUCAGCUGUGCUGUCCCCUGUGUUGUCACCUGUACCUUCAUCUGUACUGUCACCUGUGUCAUCACCUGUGCCAUUACCUGUCCUGUCAGCUGUUCCCUCACCUGUGCCAUCAUCUGUCGUGUUUCCUGUUCCCUCACCUGUUCCCUUACCUGUCCCUUACUGGUCAGCUGUGCUUUCACCUGUCCUGCACCUGUUCUUUAACCGUGCUGAACCUGUCGCUUCUCUUGUCUUACACCUGUCACCUGAUUGUGCUACACCUGUCCUGCACCUGUUCUUUAACUGUGCUGAACCUGUCACUUCGCUUGUCUUACACCUGUCACCUGGUUGUGCUACACCUGUCCUGCACCUGUUGUACUCCUGUUGUUAUACGCGUCUUGUGUGCGUUAUUUCACCUGUUCCUUCACCUGGAACAUUUCCUGUCCCCCCUGCACCCCUGACAUGUCCCCCCGUGUCCUCACCUGUCCCCCCGUGUCCCUCACCUGUCCCUCACCUGUCCCCCCUGUGUCCCUCACCUGUCCCCCCGUGUCCCUCACCUGUCCCCCUGUGUCCCUCACCUGUACUCCUGUGUUCCUGACACGUCCCUGACAUGUCCCCCUGUGUCCCUNNNNNNNNNNNN
RNAcentral lists this long non-coding RNA (1243 nucleotides) under Cyanistes caeruleus (blue tit). Its description in RNAcentral is "lncRNA (ENSCCEG00000014266.1)". Lineage: Eukaryota; Metazoa; Chordata; Aves; Passeriformes; Paridae. The record is from RNAcentral.